UAAGUCACUUUAUCUUUAUGAUAAAUGUGAGAUGCAGUGUAUGGAACGUCUAUAAUCUAAUAAUAUUAAUUAACAAUUUAAGUUUCUCUCAAAAGAGGCCAUUUACCCAUAGAGGGUGCCAGGCCCGUAUAACGUUAAUGAUUAUUAGAAGAUGUUUCCAAAGAGUCGUGUUGCUUGAUAGUGCAGCACUAAGUGGGUGGUAAACUCCAUCUAAAACUAAAUAUAACCAUGAGACCGAUAGUAAACAAGUACCGUGAGGGAAAGUUGAAAAGAACUCUGAAUAGAGAGUUAAAUAGUACGUGAAACUGCUUAGAGGUUAAGCCCGAUGAACCUGAAUAUUCAUUAUGGAAAAUUCAACAUAUGUCUAUAGUAUAUAAAAAAUACUUUAGAAAUAUUGUGCAUUUUUUCCAUAUAAGAACAUUGUAAUCUAUUAACAUAUAAAUAUAAAUUUAUCAAAAGAUCAUUGGCUUAAGUUUAUUCAAAUUAAAUUGCUUGCGAUUUAACACAGAAUAAAUGCUUAUGAUUUGAUAAAGUGUUGAUAGAUUUAUCAAAUUAGUGCUAAAAUUUGAAUAAAUUUUACAAUUGCAUAUUUAUCUAAAAUGAUUUUUAUGUUAAUUGUAUGCACUUAAUUGAUUAACAAUGCGAUAGAUUCAGGAUACCUUCGGGACCCGUCUUGAAACACGGACCAAGGAGUCUAACAUAUGUGCAAGUCAUUGGGAUUAUAUAUAUAAACUCAAAGGCGAAAUUAACUUAACUUAUUAAUAAUGGGAUUAGUUUUUAGUCUAUUUUUAAUAGUCUAAUAAUUCAAUCCCGGGGCGUUCUAUAUAGUUAUGUAUAAUAAUAUUUAUAUUAUUUAUGCCUCUAACUAGAGCGUACCUUGAGCAUAUAUGCUGUGACCCGAAAGAUGGUGAACUAUACUUGAUCAGGUUGAAGUCAGGGGAAACCCUGAUGGAAGACCGAAACAGUUCUGACGUGCAAAUCGANNNNNNCGAUAGAAUAAUGUAGGUAAGGGAAGUCGGCAAAUUAGAUCCGUAACUUCGGGAUAAGGAUUGGCUCUGAAGAUUGAGAUAGUCGGGCUUGAUUGGGAAGCAAUAACAUGGUUUAUGUACUCGUUCUGGAUAAAUAGAGAUUUUCGAAUCUUGUUCCCCGGAUAGUAGCUACGUAGCCAAUUGUGGAACUUUUUUGCUAAAAUUUUUAAGGGAUCAUCGAAAGAUGUAUCCUUUUUAAAUUAUAACGAUUAUCAAUUAACAAUCAAUUCAGAACUGGCACGGACUUGGGGAAUCCGACUGUCUAAUUAAAACAAAGCAUUGUGAUGGCCCUAACGGGUGUUGACACAAUGUGAUUUCUGCCCAGUGCUCUGAAUGUCAAAGUGAAGAAAUUCAAGUAAGCGCGGGUAAACGGCGGGAGUAACUAUGACUCUCUUAAGGUAGCCAAAUGCCUCGUCAUCUAAUUAGUGACGCGCAUGAAUGGAUUAACGAGAUUCCUUCUGUCCCUAUCUACUAUCUAGCGAACCACAGCCAAGGGAACGGGCUUGGAAAAAUUAGCGGGGAAAGAAGACCCUGUUGAGCUUGACUCUAGUCUGGCAGUGUAAGGAGACAUAAGAGGUGUAGAAUAAGUGGGAGAUAGAUAAUUUCGGUUGUUUGUCGCCAAUGAAAUACCACUACUCUUAUUGUUUCCUUACUUACUUGAUUAAAUGGAACGUGUAUCUUUGCCUAGCCAUUUUACGGAUAUAUUUAUAUAUUUUAUGGUAUUGGGUUUAGAUGCAAGCUUCUUGAUCAAAGUAUCACGAGUUUGUUAUGCAAUUGUAAACAAAUUUUGAUGAAACAAAGAGCUUUCGGGUUUUUUGUUAUAAUUGAAAUUUGGUAUAACUCCAAUACUCAGAUAUGAUCCAAUUCAAGGACAUUUCCAGGUAGGGAGUUUGACUGGGGCGGUACAUCUCUCAAAUAAUAACGGAGGUGUCCCAA
This 1964-nucleotide ribosomal RNA is filed under the name Sepedon sphegea. RNAcentral's name for it is "eukaryotic LSU rRNA". It matches the Rfam family "Eukaryotic large subunit ribosomal RNA", at positions 115 to 2666 of the family's 3401-position model. The record is from RNAcentral. Lineage: Eukaryota; Metazoa; Arthropoda; Insecta; Diptera; Sciomyzidae.